GCAUAAUCAUUCGCCUAUUAAUUGUGGGCUGGAAUACAAACGGCUAGACGAUAGAAGCUCUGUCUCUCUUUAUUGUUAUUUGAAUUUAACUUUAUGGUGAAGAGGCCAUAAUUUAUUAGUGGGACGAGAAGACCCUAUAGAGCUUUACUUUAAAAGUAAUUUUACUUAUUACUAAAAAGUUUAGUUGGGGCAACUUUCUUUUAUGUAAAACAAAGAAUGAUAAUAAAAUAAUCUAAUUUUGGUGACCUGAAAUUUUUUAAUUAAAGGAAAAAGUUACCUUAGGGAUAACAGCGUAAUUCUUCUUGAGAGUACUUAUUGACAGAAGAGCUUGCGACCUCGAUGUUGGAUCAGAAAACCCUGGAUGUGCAGCAGCCUCUAAGGGGGUUUGUUAG
RNAcentral lists this ribosomal RNA (392 nucleotides) under Amphipholis squamata. RNAcentral's name for it is "partial 16S ribosomal RNA". It matches the Rfam family "Bacterial large subunit ribosomal RNA", at positions 1959 to 2583 of the family's 2925-position model. The record is from RNAcentral. Lineage: Eukaryota; Metazoa; Echinodermata; Ophiuroidea; Amphilepidida; Amphiuridae.